UCACCAGGUAGGCAGAAUAGUCUUAUAUAGCCAUUUGUUGUCCAGGGCAAUUUUGCCUAUUAAGUCUGUUUCCUCCCAGUUAACCUUCCUUCCAUGAGCCUCUGAAGCUUGAUGUCUGAACUCAGGGAUGGUUUGGAAACCCCUACUUAGGCAGUCUUGGGUCUUCUCAAAUACUGCAGUCUAAUACCAUGUCCUGCCUGCUCUAAAACUGACUCCUGCUCCUUCCGUCUGUUUUUCCCAGUUUACAGAUCUGGCUUGUGUAUUCACUCUCUACAUGUCUAUGUAAGUAACCACAUUCGCAUUGGCUGAGAAGUCAUCACUUGCAAAAUAGUCUUUAUUGAGUUCAAGAGCCAACAUGCUCUCUGGUCCUUCUAAUCCAGCUGUUCUCAACCUUGGCUGCACAUGGAAUCACUGAGGGAGGCCUUGGUCUGCAGUAAAGCCUACACACCUCCCCAGGACUAAGUACGGAUUUCUGAGUAUAACCAUGGAAGAAGACCCUCGAAAGGGAACUGCUGAGUUAAAGGAAAUGUGCCAUUUAUACUUUGGCUAAAUGUUCCCACACUUUCAUUCCUGAAGUUGUGCCAAUUUAUGUUGGUAGAAACAAUGUAUUAGAGCACUUUCCCCAUCAUCAUAAAUACAGUGACUUGGAAGCUAAGGCCCAGAGAGGAGGAGAAACUUGAUCAAAGUCAAUCAGACAAUGCAGAAUCGAGAAAAGUACCUGGACCUCUAUGCCCAUGCUUCUAGCAGCCAGCCUCCUAAAAUACCUCUAGUUGAAGCCAAAGUUAGAAUCCUUCUACGAAACUACAGGAUUAAAAUGGAAUGGUUACAUGACCCAGGCUUGACCAAUCAGAUCAUCCAAACCCUUUGCCACAGUGAUUGGUCCAGGGAUACAUGCAUGAGCCAGCUCAGGUAAAUGAGACUCAAUUAUAAGAAUUUUGUUAGCGCAAUUGGGAAAAAGAAGUUUUCUUUCCAUGAGAACUAUCAGCUAUAAGAAUGUUGGAUGCUUCCAUCUGCUGGAGUCCAUGAAGA
Molecule: long non-coding RNA, 1029 nt
Filed under: Homo sapiens (human)
Lineage: Eukaryota; Metazoa; Chordata; Mammalia; Primates; Hominidae
Description: MAMDC2 antisense RNA 1
Source: RNAcentral